UAAGCAGCCGUUUCUUUCAAUGAACCGCAUUGGGGUAAAAUUCCUUCAUCAACUAGGUUGUUCAAUUUCCUCCUUUUUGAAUGGAGACCUGCCAGUUCUUGUUCAAGGCCUCAACGAUUAUAGACCAUCUCUGAAUCUCUCCUGGAUACUCAACCUGUUGAUAGAAGAUCCCAAGUGUUACCACACACUGGCAUACUGAACACCCCUCUGGUCCUGACCCUGUUCUCCAACAGUGAGAGUGUAGAGGAGCAGUUAACCCUGCCUCAGACUGCUGGUCUCCCUCUCCUCUCCUCUCAGACCCAACGUGACCUCAUCCAGAGGCUGCCCUCCUACUGCAACAUGCUCCACAAACACCACAUAGGAUCCAGCCAAGUGCUGCUUGUGACACGGCUCCUCUUCAAGCUGAGAACAAAGAUCUGCUGGAGUCUCUCCUCAACUGCAGGGUAGAAGCAUGGUUUGUGUCAGUGCUGCAUCCCUCCAGCCCCAGAGACAGUCUCCUCCACUGGCUGGGCCUGCUGUCUAACCAGAGCUGCAGGCAGCCACCAAGGGGAGCUCUGGGGCAGCAGUACAAUGAGGCCUCCCUGCAUGCCCUGCUCUACUCCUGGCCCACCC
Molecule: long non-coding RNA, 612 nt
Filed under: Salmo salar (Atlantic salmon)
Lineage: Eukaryota; Metazoa; Chordata; Actinopteri; Salmoniformes; Salmonidae
Description: lncRNA (ENSSSAG00000114669.1, ENSSSAG00020076714.1)
Source: RNAcentral